GCUGGAAUUUAAGUUGAGCCGGUGAAGUUUUCUUCUCUCUAUAUACAUUUACUGACGCACAUAUUUUAAAUCUUUCUUUUCUUAAUUUUCUUCUUCAAUUUUGAAGAGCUCUGGAUUUAUUAUUUUUUUAAGGUAGCUCUGACAACAUAUCAUUUGCUUUUCUUUUGCUAUAGGUAAAAAAAUAUUUACAGGUAAAUAUGGCGCAAUUUCAUUUAAUUAAUUGGUAAAAAAUAAAGGUUCCGUCGUCAGCAUUCACGCCGACUAAUUCAGCAUUUAGGUUCAGUCUGUGGUUAAAGUUUUGUUUUACAUCAAAAUCGUUGUCAAACAUAAUGGAAUUUCGGGAAAUUGGGACAUUGGCUUCUUUAUGUCCAAAACACAGUAUCCAGGGGAAAAUUUUGCAUAUAUUUAUUUUCAUUUUUCCGUAUUUUACUACUAGAUGGACUUCGUUUUUCCUGAACAGUUAAUUUCAUGUUUUGUCUGAG
This 482-nucleotide long non-coding RNA is filed under the name Mytilus galloprovincialis (Mediterranean mussel). The record is from RNAcentral. Lineage: Eukaryota; Metazoa; Mollusca; Bivalvia; Mytilida; Mytilidae.